AUACUUACCUGGCAGGGGAGACACCGUGAUCACGAAGGUGGUUUUCACAGGGCGAGGCUCAUCCAUUGUACUCUGUAUGUGCUGACCCCUGCGAUUUCCCCAAAUGCGGGAGACUCGAUUGCAUAAUUUAUGGUAGCAGGGUACUGUGUUUACACUUUCCCCUA
Molecule: small nuclear RNA, 164 nt
Organism: Octodon degus (degu)
Lineage: Eukaryota; Metazoa; Chordata; Mammalia; Rodentia; Octodontidae
Gene: U1
Rfam family: U1 spliceosomal RNA
About the family: U1 is a small nuclear RNA (snRNA) component of the spliceosome (involved in pre-mRNA splicing).
Source: Ensembl